This 1814-nucleotide long non-coding RNA is filed under the name Marmota monax (woodchuck). The record is from RNAcentral. Lineage: Eukaryota; Metazoa; Chordata; Mammalia; Rodentia; Sciuridae.
GAUUGAACCCAGGAUUACUCUACCAUUAAGCUAUAUCCCCAGCUCUUUUUAUUUUGAGACAGGGUCCCUCUCAGUUGCUCAGGCUGGCCUUCAAACUUGUGAUCCUUCUGUCUCCAACUUCUGAGUAGCUGAAACUACAGGCUGCUGCGCCAGCACAAUCAGUUUUAGUUUCUUUUUGAAGCUUUGUAAAGCUCUGCUGUUGGCUGAAAUGACUAUGAAGUAGCUGACUCUAGUUUUUACUGUUGCCUUGCAGAGGGCCUGAUAUGCAACUUUAUAACAUCCUGCUAAGUGAGGUUGACAGUUUCUUUUUACAAAGAAGUUCCCUGAGGUUGGACUUGGACGUUACUGUAGUCUCCCAGCUAGGGAGAGGCAGGCUGGAACCCCACCUGCUCUCAACCACUUGGUUUAAUUUCUAGUAAGUUCAUUUGUCCUUGACUAGUGUUUCAAGUAUUCAAGAUAGGGAAGAGGGUGGAUCUUGAAGAUCUUGAGGUACUCAGAAGGGGAGAAACAAAGGAGAGCGGCAAUGGAUGUGUUCAUCCUUUAACAAAGCUUAGAGGUGUCAGCCACUGUUUAUCUGUUGUACUUCUUUAAGUCUCAUAGCAACCCUAGAAGGUGGGUACUAGCAUUCUCUCCAUGUUCAAAAGGGGAAACUGAAGCAAAGGGGAUUAAGUCACUCAACCAAGUUCACACUGCCAAGAAGUGACCGAACUGGGAUUUGGACUCCUGCUCUCAGGUCCUCUACUCAGCAGGGAGGAACCCUGGAGAACAGAAGACCAGGACAGGAGGAGCAGGUCCCUGAGGCUCAGGUGUGGAGAGGUAGAGGAGCUGACAUAAGACCUGAUGGGCUGAAGUAGUAUCAGGUUCAGAACGUGGGGGAAUCCUGAUUCUGAUGCUCCAAAUCACUCACUUCUGAUUUUUUUCUUUCAUGGACCAAGAAAAUGACUUCAGAAGAAGACCCAGCAGCCACCCUAGAUGCUUGCGCUGGCAACUGUGGGCCCCGAAAGAGGCCAACCUCCACAUCAUCCUCACCAGAGCCCCCAGAGUUCAGCACUUUCCGGGCCUGCCAGUGAGGCUGAGGAUUGGGGAACACUUCUAUUCAGCCCUGUCCCUCCACCUGCCUGAGCCUUUCCGGGGCCUGAGGUUCCCUUCAGCUACUUCAGGGGUGACAGGGGUUUAUGUUCCCUGGCUGCUACCUUCUCAGGGAGUUGAAGAGAGAUGAAGGGGUCCUCUGGCCUUGGGACCUUGCUCAUAGAAGAGUGGGAGAGGGGAUGAAGGCAAUGGCAUGGAGGCUGAGCCCAAAGCAGGAAGCCCUUCUGUGGAUUCCUCCUUCUCAAGACCAUCAGGGAAGAUGUCUGGAUUUCUUCUGGCCCCCCAGCUGGGCAUAAGAGGUCCACACUCUCCACGCUGUGCCCCCCAGUUCUUCCAUUUUCAGUCACUCUGAUUCAGGUACCUGACUUCCCAACUGGGUUUUUGAGCUCAGGGUUGGGGGGAUGUUCUGUGUGUUCCCCUUUUGGCAUACCUAAGUUAUUAAUUAUAACACAUGUUGAGGUGGUCCCAAGGUCUUUCUGGUGUGUAAUCCUUCAAACCUGGGACCUUCGGCAUCCAACUCUUGGACAGCUGAGGGUGGUAGCAUGCCCAAAUCCAUGAUGUUUAAGGUACCCCUGAACUGAGUCAGGAUGGUGUAGGAGACCUAUGAGGGGUUUUGUGAAGAGAGGGGACAACAACACAAGGUUGUCCCCUGCUAGGUUCCUUCAACUGUGGGGGAACAGGAGGUAGAAUGAUGUUGUGUAGGGGUAAAGGGGUAUUGGGGAAAA